This is a long non-coding RNA of Astatotilapia calliptera (eastern happy), 929 nucleotides long. NCBI's taxonomy places the organism in Eukaryota, Metazoa, Chordata, Actinopteri, Cichliformes, Cichlidae. The record is from Ensembl.
AUUCUUUCUGGGUUACAAAAUAAACAUUUAACAUAUGUUCAGGCGAGAAUGUAGCUGUGUAAACCUCAAAUAUCUGCUCAGUUGAUCAAGACGCCACAUAUUUUCAAAAGCGCUCUGACGUUUUCGGAGACGUCUGUUACCCACUAGCACGAUAGCUAGCCGGGGGCAAGGCUCACUAGAGCCCGUGAGAACACCGGACUCCCGGCAAAUCGUCUUUCCGUCUUUCGCUACUCAGGUUACUCAGGUCACAUUUUAUUUGUAGUGUGAACGAGCAGACAAAAAAAAUCAGAUUUGAUCAAAAAAUCAGAAUUGAGCAUUAAGACCUGCAGUGUGAAUGUAGCCUUAUAUUAUCAGACAUGAACAUCUUCCAUGCAUCUACUGGGGAGACAGUACUACAGGGAGUGCAGAAUUAUUAGGCAAAUGAGUAUUUUGUCCACAUCAUCCUCUUCAUGCAUGUUGUCUUACUCCAAGCUGUACAGUCUCGAAAGCCUACUACCAAUUAAGCAUAUUAGGUGAUGUGCAUCUCUGUAAUGAGAAGGGGUGUGGUCUAAUGACAUCAACACCCAAUAGGGCUUUGGAGCGUGAUGUCACGGGGGUGGGCGUGGAAAGGAUUUUGGCCCAAUCCGCCAUUUUGGGGGUCUAGCGCAAGUGAAAAGGGAGCGAAGUCACACACAACAGCCAUGGUUCGUAUUUGCUGCAAUGUUCGAUCACACGACCGGCAAGAGAAUAAGGUUGAAAAUGGUUUAUCUUUUCAUUCUUUCCCAACCUGGAAGCAACAUGAGGCAGCUCGUGUAUCGGAUGUUACCAAACGAAGGCGUCUAGCCUGGAUAGCAGCUGUGAGACGAGCUGAUGUGCAGUUCGCUUCCAUCUCCAAAUAUCUGUUGGUGCUCCAGACAUUUUCAUUCCGCAAACCAGCCUAUGAAAUGGAU